RNAcentral lists this long non-coding RNA (638 nucleotides) under Podarcis muralis (Common wall lizard). RNAcentral describes it as "lncRNA (ENSPMRG00000020205.1)". The record is from RNAcentral. Lineage: Eukaryota; Metazoa; Chordata; Lepidosauria; Squamata; Lacertidae.
GGAAGGGAGAGAGUGAGGAAGGGGAAGAGGCCCCUGCCCAGUAUGCAGCCAGGAACAGCAAGGAAUGGAGCGACUUAUAUUCGGAUUAUUGCAAAAAUAUCGUCAAGCCUCAAUAUGCAGCCUACUAUUACGCCAAUAUGUCCACGGGAACAUUGCGCUGUAUUACCAACUGCACCAAGGGAACAAAGACCUCCUGGAACUGCCACUAUGGAGAGUGUCGCAUUCGUGAAACAGGCCCCGAGUGCUUGUGCAGUGAUAUGGACAAGUUUUGGUACACAGGAGAUUUUUGCGAGACACGCUUCCAGAAGAGUGAGGUGGGCCUUGGUAUUGGGCUCGCCAUCUUGUUUGUGACCAGUGCUGUCCUGGCUUUCUUCCUCUUCAGAGCCAUGAGGAAGAAAUCUAAAGAGAGCUUCCUUGACGGAGAGGAGCUCUGGUACGUGGAGGAUGAAGAGGAAGAGUGGAAGCCUUCCUCAGGCCUGAGCAUCGUGAAUAAAGCAGCCUGCGAGGGUGGACUUGAAGGCAGAAAACAGGUGUUCAGACCAACUCUUGAUGCAGUAGAUACUGAAAUGCAGGUAUGUACAGCUAUAGUUUCAUCUUGGGCAGAUUUCUUUCGGUUAUCGUCUCCUGAGAUCAAUCGA